This 221-nucleotide ribosomal RNA is filed under the name uncultured beta proteobacterium. RNAcentral's name for it is "partial 16S ribosomal RNA". It matches the Rfam family "Bacterial small subunit ribosomal RNA", at positions 980 to 1206 of the family's 1533-position model. The record is from RNAcentral. Lineage: Bacteria; Pseudomonadati; Pseudomonadota; Betaproteobacteria.
CUUGACAUGUCAGGAAGCUCUUGUAAUGAGAGCGUGCCCGCAAGGGAGCCUGAACACAGGUGCUGCAUGGCUGUCGUCAGCUCGUGUCGUGAGAUGUUGGGUUAAGUCCCGCAACGAGCGCAACCCUUGUCACUAGUUGCUACGAAAGGGCACUCUAGUGAGACCGCCGGUGACAAACCGGAGGAAGGUGGGGAUGACGUCAAGUCCUCAUGGCCCUUAUG